AACGCGAAGAACCUUACCUGGGUUUGACAUGGGCGCUAAAGCCGCAGAGAUGUGGUGUCCUUCGGGGCGGUUCACAGGUGGUGCAUGGCUGUCGUCAGCUCGUGUCGUGAGAUGUUGGGUUAAGUCCCGCAACGAGCGCAACCCUUAUUCCAUGUUGCCAGCGGGUUAUGCCGGGGACUCAUGGGAGACUGCCGGGGUCAACUCGGAGGAAGGUGGGGAUGACGUCAAGUCAUCAUGCCCCUUAUGUCCAGGGCUUCACGCAUGCUACAAUGGCCGGUACAAAGGGCUGCGAUACCGCAAGGUGGAGCGAAUCCCAAAAAGCCGGUCUCAGUUCGGAUCGGGGUCUGCAACUCGACCCCGUGAAGUCGGAGUCGCUAGUAAUCGCAGAUCAGCAACGCUGCGGUGAAUACGUUCCCGGGCCUUGUACACACCGGCAC
This 437-nucleotide ribosomal RNA is filed under the name uncultured bacterium. RNAcentral describes it as "bacterial SSU rRNA". It matches the Rfam family "Bacterial small subunit ribosomal RNA", at positions 958 to 1396 of the family's 1533-position model. The record is from RNAcentral.